CGGGACUACGGUGCCCACAUGGCCUUGCGCCCCGGCGCAUGAGCGCUCGGGCGCUGUAGCGCAUCUAUUAUACUGCCUUGCCGAGGAUAAAAAGAAGAGCAACUGGAGGGACUGUAAGGCAAACGUUGCUGGAGCUGCCGGGGCAAAUUUGCUCUAGGUUGUAUGGUUGCACCCUGGAAAUGGGAUGUCAGUCCCAUUCAGGGAGCAUAAAGGAAGAGAGAAAAUCUCCCCGUUGCUGCCGCAGUGACAGCGAGUGAGAGCCCGAGCAGGAAGAUGUCGGCGGUCGCCUCAGCGAUCCAGGCUCCUCAGGGCCCCGUGAAUCCGCCGCCUCCAGAGGUGACAAAUCCCAACAAACCUGGCCGAAAGACCAACCAGCUGCAGUAUAUGCAAAAUGUUGUGGUGAAGACCUUGUGGAAGCAUCAGUUUGCUUGGCCUUUCUACCAGCCUGUUGAUGCAAUUAAGCUGAAUUUGCCGGAUUAUCACAAAAUAAUAAAAAACCCCAUGGACAUGGGGACGAUCAAGAAGCGCCUGGAACACAACUAUUACUGGAGUGCCAGUGAAUGUAUGCAGGAUUUCAACACCAUGUUUACAAACUGUUACAUUUAUAACAAGCCCACAGAUGACAUUGUCCUCAUGGCCCAAGCCCUGGAGAAGAUAUUUCUGCAGAAGGUUGCCCAGAUGCCUCAGGAGGAGGUGGAAUUGCUACCCCCAGUUCCUAAAGGCAAAGGUCGCAAGCCCUCAGCGGGCACACAGAGCACAGGAGCGCAGCAAGCCGUGGCCGUGUCUUCCGUGUCCCCGCCGGCCCCGUUCCAGAACGUCCCUCCAGCCGUGUCUCAGACGCCCGUCAUCGCUGCCACCCCCGUGCCAACCAUCACCGCCAAUGUCCCGCCUGUCGCCGCCCCUGCCGCCGCCGUCCCGCCCCCGCCCGCCGCUCCGAUCAUGCCCGUGGUGCCUCCCACGCCCCCGGUCGUCAAGAAAAAGGGAGUGAAGCGGAAAGCAGACACCACCACGCCCACCACGUCUGCCAUCACUGCCAGCAGGAGCGAGUCCCCCACGCCGCUGUCGGACCCCAAACAGGCCAAAAUCAUCGCGCGCAGGGAGAGCGGCGGCCGCCCCAUCAAACCACCAAAGAAGGACCUGGAGGAUGGAGAGGUCCCUCAGCACGCAGGGAAGAAGGGCAAACUCUCUGAGCACCUCAAGUACUGUGACAGCAUCCUCAAGGAGAUGCUCUCCAAGAAGCACGCAGCCUAUGCAUGGCCCUUUUACAAGCCCGUGGAUGCAGAGGCCUUGGAAUUACAUGACUAUCACGAUAUUAUCAAACACCCCAUGGAUCUCAGUACUGUGAAAAAAAAAAUGGACAGUCGGGAAUACCAGGAUGCACAAGGUUUUGCAGCAGAUAUUCGGUUAAUGUUCUCUAAUUGUUACAAGUACAAUCCUCCAGACCACGAGGUGGUGGCCAUGGCCAGGAAGCUCCAGGAUGUCUUUGAGAUGAGGUUUGCAAAAAUGCCAGAUGAGCCUGCAGAGGCCCCCCCUCCACCUCCCCCAACAGCCCCAGUGGUGAGCAAAAGCACAGAGAGCAGCCACAGCAGCGAGGAGAGCUCCUCAGACUCCGACAGCUCCGACUCCGAGGAGGAGCGGGCGACUCGGCUGGCCGAGCUCCAGGAGCAGCUGAAAGCCGUCCAUGAGCAGCUGGCUGCACUGUCCCAAGCGCCAGUGAACAAACCAAAGAAAAAAAAAGAGAAGAAGGAGAAAGAGAAGAAAAAGAAAGAUAAAGAGAAGGAAAAAGAAAAGCACAAAGUCAAAGCUGAGGAGGAGAAGAAACCCAAGGUGGCUCAACCACCAAAACAAGCCCAACAGAAGAAAGCCCCAGCUAAGAAAGCGAACAGCACAACCACAGCUAACAGGCAGCCCAAGAAAGGAGGCAAACAGGCAUCUGCAACCUACGACUCGGAUGAGGAGGAGGAAGGGCUGCCCAUGACCUAUGACGAGAAGCGACAGCUCAGCCUGGACAUCAACCGCCUGCCCGGGGAGAAGCUGGGCAGGGUGGUUCACAUCAUCCAGUCCAGGGAACCUUCCCUCAGAGACUCCAAUCCCGACGAGAUUGAAAUAGAUUUUGAAACUUUGAAGCCCACAACGUUACGAGAACUGGAGAGAUACGUGAAAUCUUGUUUACAGAAAAAACAAAGGAAACCAUUUUCUGCCAGUGGCAAAAAGCAAGCAGCAAAGUCAAAAGAAGAGUUAGCUCAGGAAAAGAAGAAAGAACUAGAAAAACGGUUACAGGACGUCAGUGGGCAGCUAAACAACAACAAGAAGCCUGCAAAGAAAGAGAAAUCCGGCUCCACUCCCUCCGGAGGCCCCUCCCGGCUCAGCAGCAGCUCCUCCUCCGAGUCGGGGAGCAGCAGCUCCAGCGGCUCCAGCUCGGACAGCAGCGACUCGGAAUGAGCGCGGACACACGGACACAACCCCCAAACGGACACCCCCUCCCGCCCCUGCUCUGCAGAGCCCCCUCCCCUCCUCACCCCCUGCUCACGGUGGUCAGGUGUGGCACUCAAACGUGGACUGGGCAGUGCCAGGAGCCAAACAUCAGGGGUUUGAAUCCUGGUGCCACGAGUCCUGGAAUAAUCUGGAAGUUAUUUUAGGGAAUGUCACACUCAAAGGGCUGAUGCGCUCAGAGUGGGGCAGCUCUGGGGUGUCUGAAUCACAGCUGAGUACCUGAAAUAAAACUGCUUUAAAUCCCUUUUUUUUGGUGAGGGAAACAGCUGUUUCCAUGUCCCAGUGCAGGCAAGGAAGGGCUUGAACUCUUCCCAGCAUCCUGUAGUCUGCAGGGUCUUAAAUUCUGUGGGAAUUGCUCCCGAUUGAGGUAAGUUGGGCUGAAAAGAGAUGAGCCUUCACCCAGGUUUGCUGCUGGCUUCUUGGAAGGCACCAGGAGCUGCAGGAAGCAGAGGGACUUUGUCACCUGCUGUGGGCUCAGGGUGACCUGGAGGGCACAGCUUGGAAAGGGGGGCCUGGAGCAGCUGGUGCCAGUGCCAGCAGAGUCCUGGCAUUGCUGUGUGGGUGCCAGGAUCUAUUUUGGUCAUCAGAGAGGACUGGGGUUGGUUUUGCUGUUUGCUCUUUGUGUGAGGUGGGGUUAGCACAGCCAGGCUGCCCCAGGGUUAAUCUUUCUCUAACCCUGUUCCUGCUCACUGCCCCUCCAAGGCUCCAGCAAAGCUGUUCCACUCUGCUCUGGUGCCAGUGCCACUCCCGUGGGCUCUUUGUCCAAGCUGUCCCCUAAAGAGUCUCCUGUGAGGGAGGUGAGGAUGUUUCUGUGGCAUUUGCAGGUGAGUUACUUCUGGGGGCAGAGAGCAGAGCUGGUUCUUCAGGCUGGGAGGAGGUUGAGGACACGCAGGACACGAUUGAAGUUCAACUCUCACUGCUCAUGCCUUGAAUGCUGGGGCUGCCAGAGGGACAUUGAGGGGCUGGAAUGAGUCCAGAGAAGGGAACAGAGCUGGGGAAGGCUCUGGAAAGUCUGUCCUGUGAGGAGCAGCUGAGAGGGCUCAGCCUGGAGGAAAAGGAGGCUCAGGGAAGAUCUCCUUGCUCUCUCCAGCUGCCCAAACCAGGGUUGUGAGGUGGGCUUUGGUCACUGCCAGGUAACUCCUAUCAGGACAAGAGGGAACAGCCUCAAGCUGCAUCAGGGGAGGCUCAGGUUGGAGAGCAGGAGCAAUUCCUUCGAGGAAAGGGUGCUCAGGCUUGGCAGGGGCUGCCCAGGGAGGUUUGGAGUCCCCAUCCCUGGAGGUGCCCAGGGAAGGCCCAGAUGUGGCACUCCGGGCUGGUGACAAAGUGGGGAUCAGGCACAGGCUGGAUGUGACAAUCUCUGAGGUCUUUUCCAUAAUAAUUCCCUCAUUCAGUGUGACAGCCAGAGCUUUCCUUAUCCUGAAAGUGCUGCUGGCCUUGGGGAGCUGGAGGAGCCUCCCCUGCAGCUCCCAGUGCAGUGGUGUGGGUUUGGAGCCCCACCAGGAACUGAGGGGAUUCCUCCCUCCCAAAAGGGGAGUGCCAAAAGCUGUCACCUGUGCCAGAGCCGUGGCCAUGCAGGGGAAAAACAGCCACUCACCGAGCUGCAUUCAAAUCAUUUUAAUGCACUUCAUCAAAGAGGCUACAACAGUGUUUGAAACAAGAGCAUCACCACCACACAACUGGCUCACAGAAGAGCCACAGCAACCCUGCUGUGACCAGUGACACACAGAAAUGGAAAACUACAGUCACAUUCACAGAGAUGGAAGGACAACUCAUCCUCUUCUUCCUGCACUGUCACAUCCAGCAUCCAUCCUGGAAGAAUUUAUGCACAUUCUUACGGGUUUAGUCUUGUAUAGUCCAAUUAAGACUCUGCAAAAUAACUGAAUUUUGGUUUACCAGCCACGUUAACAAAAAGAGACUGAUUAUACCCAAAAUAAGCAUCUUCCUUACUGAAAUUAAAAAGAAAAUAAGUGUUGGAUUUCUUUUUCUAUAAGAAAAGAAAACGAACAGCUGCUUUGGGGGAUGUGCUGUUCCUUAAACUCCCAGAGUUCACGUGCUCCCCAGGGCUGGCCUGGAACCCACCUCUCCUGCUUCUCCAGGUGAAUCCACCUGCAGAUCCCAGGGGAGCUCUGGGCCCAGCCCCCUGCCUGUUUGAGUAAAUAAUCUCCUGUUCACUCAGCCAAGAGCUGGAGGCCCAGGUGGGUCACACAUCCCUGGCACUGCUCCCCCGGCACCUUGCCGAGCCUCGCUGGCUUUGUGAAUCUCAUUGAACGCUUGCACUCGCUUCAAAAACAUUUAUUCACUGAAUAGUUUCUCCUCCAGAGCUAGUCCUGACAAAAGCAAGAGGGUUAUUUGUGUGCAGAGCAAUGCACAGGUCUGCAAAGCAGCGAGGUGCAAAUCUACGAGCGCGCACACACACACAAGGUAUCAAACACCAACACAUGCAGAAAUAGUGCUUUUAAAAAAAACAACGAGCUGCCUGUUGUUUGCAGUGCUAUGGAGCAGGGCUGAGUACACCAAACCUCUAUGAUUUCACUCUAGAACAGGUGUGUUCUGCUCAGUACAUCGAGUUCAGCAAGGUCGAGUGUCGGUGUGUUUGUUGUAGCAUUUCACCCACACGGGAGAGGUGGAAGAGAUUCUUCAUUGUAUUAAAAAAAAAUAAAUAAAAUAAAGUGCUUGAAAAAAAUGCAAAGGAGGUUUUAGAUAAAUAGAACAGAAGUAAUGACUGUGCCUAAUAAUAGGCAGGUAAAUAAUCCAUCCUGAAGCUGACAUCAAAUGCUGAUUUGCCUGGAGCUAAGCCUGUGCCCAGGCACUGCUGGGUUGCCCACAUGGCCUAGGCAGGACAGAAAGGGAAAAACCCUGAAGAAUUUUCAUGCUGAACCCUGGGUACGUAAUUCACAGCCCUGGAAGUGGGAGUUCUGUUUUUAACAAAGAUUCAGGUGCUUGCUGGGCUGAGUUUCUCAGGGUGAUCUUGCCUUGAACAAGUCAGGAUUCAGCAGAAACUUAAACCUGAAAGCAGCAGCCUCUGUGCCCAAGCAGGGCAGUGCUUCUCCCUCCUAAAAUCCUCCAGUUAAUCAUAACAAUCCUAGACACAACUUCUAAAAUACAUGCACCAAACCUACAAUCCAACCUGAACUAGAAGUUAAACCCUUCCAAGCUACUGCAUGCAUUAAAACUUGAAUGCAAAGCAAACUCCAGUGGCCUCUUUCCUUCUGUAGCCCAUCUCAGGAGUGGCUCUGUGCUCUGCAGGAGUUUCCUCGUGUCCCUUAGGACAUGUGUGCAUUUACAGGGUUUUUUUUUACUGUUGCUUUCCUGGGCCUGUCCCUCCCUUUCAGGUGGUUCACUGGGGGAUCUGCCCGAAAGGAGUCAGCUCCCCUGACUCCAGAGCUCCUGUUGUUUCCAUGAUCCCACCCUGUGGGAUCAGAGAGGGCCCUUGGCUUUGCAUGGAACUCCAGCACACCUUUCCUACCAGGUGUUUUGAAGGCUUGGAUUAAAUUCUCAACACAUUCUCCCCCUGUUCCCACAGUAAAUCACUCCAUUCUCUGGCUGGAAGAGACCACUUCAGGAUAGGAAUUAAAUACAGACAGGGCAAACUGAACAAGUAAUGGCCAGAUGGUUUUGGAGAUCAACUUCUUAAAACCACAGCCCUGAUGGGAACAGAUCUGUGCUCGCCUCUGUCCCACCAGCAUUCCCAGAGCUCUGGAAAUGCACCAGGACUGGCCAGUAAGGGUGGCUGGGGACGGUGCCCAAGUGCCAGCGGGUGUUUCUCAGGGCACACGAGCCACUUAGAAGCAACACAUGGUCCAGCACGGCCCCUGCCAAGAUGCUGGGCAGCAACAGGCUUGAGAUCUCCCCAGCCAGGCUGGGUUUGCUGCACACACUCAGUGACAUGCAGAAUGGGA
This is an RNA transcript of Pyrgilauda ruficollis (rufous-necked snowfinch), 6392 nucleotides long. It is a transcript of the gene named bromodomain containing 3, with no coding region annotated. The record is from RefSeq and is a predicted model, not a curated record. The transcript has 13 exons. Lineage: Eukaryota; Metazoa; Chordata; Aves; Passeriformes; Passeridae.